GGUUUUCAAGAAUAAAUUUUUCGUUUUGCCUUGAAAGCAAGAAGAGGGGUAGAGGAAAUCCCCGAAAACCU
RNAcentral lists this transfer RNA (71 nucleotides) under Hoploplana elisabelloi. Its description in RNAcentral is "tRNA-Ser". Lineage: Eukaryota; Metazoa; Platyhelminthes; Polycladida; Hoploplanidae. The record is from RNAcentral.